Molecule: ribosomal RNA, 109 nt
Filed under: Candidatus Uhrbacteria bacterium RIFCSPHIGHO2_01_FULL_63_20
Lineage: Bacteria; Candidatus Uhriibacteriota
Also listed under: 1 other name
Source: RNAcentral
CUCGGUGUCAGUUCCCGGCGGGUCACACCCGUUCCCAUCCCGAACACGGCAGUUAAGCCGCCAGGGGCCGAUGGUAGUCCGAUUGGGCGAGAGUAGGUGGACGCCGGGA